GACGAACGCUGGCGGCGUGCCUAACACAUGCAAGUCACGGGGGGUAGCAAUACCAACCGGCGAACGGGUGCGGAACACGUGAGCAAUCUGCCGAUUACUGGGGGAUAGCCGGGCCAACGC
RNAcentral lists this ribosomal RNA (120 nucleotides) under uncultured bacterium. RNAcentral describes it as "partial 16S ribosomal RNA". It matches the Rfam family "Bacterial small subunit ribosomal RNA", at positions 28 to 158 of the family's 1533-position model. The record is from RNAcentral.